Molecule: non-coding RNA, 107 nt
Organism: Gossypium hirsutum (cotton)
Lineage: Eukaryota; Viridiplantae; Streptophyta; Magnoliopsida; Malvales; Malvaceae
Source: Rfam
AACCCAUCGUGAGGGCACCAUCUCAAUAAGUCCUUAUACCUCACCCAUGCAUCAUAUAGGGUUUCUCAGUCAAUUUGAAUAAAAGAAGAGAUAUCAUUCCUCAACUU